GCAGAAGAGAGGUCUGUCGCUUCAUGCCGGGCGCAUGAAGAGGAAAGUCCGGGCAACAUAGAGCACCAUAUUUGUUAACGUCAAGCCGGCGGCGACGUCGGGGGAAAUGUGACAGAAAACUACCGCCGGGAGGCUUAAACGCCUUCCGGUAAGGGUGAAAAGGCGGGGUAAGAGCCCACCGGGUGCCAUGGCGACAUGGCAUGCCGUACAUCCUAUGGGUUGCAAGGCCAAAUACACCGGCAGCUAAGGGUUGCUCGCCCAUUGCCGGGGGGUAGGCUGCUCGGCGCUUCGCGCCGGA
Molecule: RNase P RNA, 298 nt
Filed under: Muribaculaceae bacterium
Lineage: Bacteria; Pseudomonadati; Bacteroidota; Bacteroidia; Bacteroidales; Muribaculaceae
Description: partial RNase P RNA component class A
Rfam family: Bacterial RNase P class A
About the family: Ribonuclease P (RNase P) is a ubiquitous endoribonuclease, found in archaea, bacteria and eukarya as well as chloroplasts and mitochondria. Its best characterised activity is the generation of mature 5'-ends of tRNAs by cleaving the 5'-leader elements of precursor-tRNAs.
Source: RNAcentral